RNAcentral lists this ribosomal RNA (212 nucleotides) under uncultured marine eukaryote. RNAcentral's name for it is "partial 18S ribosomal RNA". It matches the Rfam family "Eukaryotic small subunit ribosomal RNA", at positions 619 to 831 of the family's 1831-position model. The record is from RNAcentral.
UUAAAAAGCUCGUAGUUGGAUUUCUGUGGGGACGGAGCGGCCGGCCGCUACUAGCGGUUCGAGCUAGCGCUUUCCCUACAUCCUGCCGCGAACCGCGCUACCAUUAGUUUGGUGGCGCCGGGGAUCGGCUCGUUUACUUUGAGAAAAAUAGAGUGUUCAAAGCAGGCCACACGCCUUGAAUAAGUUAGCAUGGAACAAUAACUAAGGACUUC